CAAACGUUGUCUCGUUCGUCUCCUUCCGUGAGGUGUUGGUCUUGAAUCAGCGAUCUAACCCUAAGUCUUUCUGGCUCAAUGCCGGUUCUUGCUCAGUUUCUGAGCAAUAUGUAAAGCUCUGACCUCAUUGCACUUGUCGUGUUUGUUUUUUGGGGUUAUCUUUCACACACGACACGGGGAUUUGAGCUUCGAACAAGAAACCUUGGAAGAGAGUCGAACGAGCGUGGAUCCAACACUGGAAAAUGCACUCGCCUUUGAAGCUGGAC
RNAcentral lists this non-coding RNA (266 nucleotides) under Pseudodiploria strigosa. Lineage: Eukaryota; Metazoa; Cnidaria; Anthozoa; Scleractinia; Faviidae. The record is from RNAcentral.